RNAcentral lists this ribosomal RNA (104 nucleotides) under uncultured bacterium. RNAcentral describes it as "partial 16S ribosomal RNA". The record is from RNAcentral.
UACACACCGCCCGUCACACCCAUGGGGAGUUGGUUCUACCCGAAGGCACUGCGCUAACCGCAGGAGGCAGGCGACCACCGGUAGGGGUCAGCGACUGGGGGUGG